AGAGGGUCUUUCCGAUUCUGUGGUGCGUGUUAACGAGCCCUGCCCAUCAUCACGCUCCAGGCUGGCAGCGAAUCGAAGCGUCUGGGAGGGCUGGAGGGGACGAGGGUGGCACCGAACGGCCCGCGCCUAGAGGCAAUUUUGGAUUUAUGCACUUGAUCAAAAGCCUGUUACCUAAUCUCCAAAAUGAGACCCCUCUCCAGUCAGUACAGAACAGGGGCCGCAGAUGCGGCUUGGAGGCCCCUUUUGUGAAGCCGGAGGUCUCUGAAGCCGUCCAUCCUUGGCCUUCCUUCUCCCUCUUGCCCUACCCCCUCCACUCAUCCCCUCGCCCUCACCCCUCUCCGCCUGUUCCCAGGACUAGGUCAAGGUGAUUUUCGAUUAACUCAGUAAGUCUGUGUUUGCAAACUUUCUCCUUUUAUGCCUUGUGUUUCUGGCUGUGCUGGGUGCCCUGCACCCUCCUGGUGCUGGUUCCUUUUGGAUGACGGGGUGCUAGAUUUUGGUUUGCCUUCCCCUUGGUUCUUGUGCUGGGGUUAAUGCCAGUGUUUGUGGUCUGGGUAUAGACUUUCGGGAAGCGCAGCCGUGAAGCUGUGGCUUCCAUCUCAAAUUUUCCUGAUAGUCUGCAGGCAUGGACUAUUCCCUCGUGGUGAGCUCCUGACUUCAAACCGGUCCAGAACAUUAGAGAAGAGAGGGGAUCCCUCAACAGGGCGUAGACGGGAGGGUAAGAUCUGGGGGUCGUGUUUUGCAGGGGCUAACAGCCCCUUCUUGCUGGCUGUCGCCCUCCCCAGCCUCUCCCUUUUGUCAUUCCUAUUCCCUGAGCUGUUUGGUUGCUGGAAAAAAAAAUCAUGAACAACACGUUGUGUAUGGGGUACAUGAGUGGGUGGAGCUUGUGGCUGGGCUGUUAUAGGAUGUUGCUGACCCAUUUUGCAUAUAAGCAGUGACAAGUUGAGGCUUGUUCUCCGGACGCAGUCUCGUGGUCUUAGGUCUGUUCUCAAGCUGGGACUGGCAGAGAAGGGGGCGGCAUGGAUCCUUGGUACCCUCUGUGUGGAAUUUCCCCAUCCUCAAGGAUUUAGUAGGAGGAAACCCUUCUGAGAGCAGCAGGACCAUCCUGACUGGGGACAUGCUAGGCUCCAGUAUUCGAGCUGCAUCCUGGAGGUCCAGUUGGAAUCAGGUUAAAAACCUUGGAGAGCUUUGUUGUGUCUCAGCUACUGCACCUGCAUGCUGAAGCAUCAAACCAGGACCCGUACAGUGUCUCAUCUACUUGGAAGCCUCUUCUUCCAACCGGCUGCCUGUGGCAGUGGACACCUCCAGUAGUCUCUCAUCUGCUUUUAUUUCUGCGUGUUCACACGUUGCUUUUGGAGAGGCCAGAAUCCUGUUAUACCAGUGAUUUAGAUUAUUUUAAUCUAAAAAAAAAACUGCCCAUUCACUCAGUGCUCCAGAAGGAGAACUGUCCUUCCCUGGACAGAAGCUGAAACAUUUGGAGACUUAAGGUCAUGCCUCCCAUCACAUUCAAGUUUGAAGUGAGACCUCUUAGCAUGGCAUCUGAGAUUCACCUCAACACCGCUGCAACUUGUGAUUCCGGUCUGAUUGCCUUUGGCUCCUGCGAUGAGUUGUCAGUUCUGAGACGCCACACAAAUGACACCAGCUCCAUGAAGCCUUCAUCAAUCAAAUAAAUACUCAUUUGCCCUCAUUCUGGAUCAGAGGCUAGACCUCCUCCUGCCGUGAGCCUGUGUACACGCUGACUGCUUUGGUCUGUGCCCAUUUCUCCUUACACACUGAGAGAAUUUCAAGAACCAAGACUGUGUGGAACCCUUCCCUGGCCAUUUCACUGCCUGCAUGGUUGAGUUCAGAAGUAUUCCCUGACCUGCAUACCUCCACAAUCCACAGGUGAUGUUUCAGAAGGAGACUGCUCCACAGCUGAAUCCUGGACUACAGGCCAGCUGGGACAAGCAGUAGGGCCCCAUCAGGCUUACACUGCAGAGAAACUGUCCGGUUUCUUCAGCCAAAGACUGUGUCAUGCAUUCCAGCUCUUGGUCAUUUCCUGUUGCCUUCAGCCAAAUAAUCAUAGUAUUUUCACUGAGAUGAAAACAUGUCCAAGCGGUGAAAUUAAUCUUACAGUGACCAGCGGAUACAUUUCCUUGAAUGUGGGAAGAAAGGAAAACAGGCCAGGGGAAUGGUAUUCAGGGAGCUGUACACUCUAAGUGCUCCACUGGCAUUCUAUUCAUUUAUUCGGUCAUGCAUGUCUACUCUCCACCAAUAUUUACUUGGUACUUUGCAUACAUUGUUCACCAGUCUAGGUGUUGAUGAUGUGGAAGUGAAUACAUCAGACAAAUACCUACACUGCUGAAGUUCAUGUUCUGGUGGCAGAGAGAAGCUAUGCUGGGAAAACUUAGUAGAAAAUUAUGUAAGUAAAAUACAUAUGCUUCCCAUUUGCCACUGCAGUGUAGGAUCCAAGGUGCCCUGAAUGCUCUCUCCUUCCCUUUACAGGACUGGAGGAAUAACACGAGUCAUUGUUAUCUGUGUCUCUUGUUAGUGGCCGCUUUAUCAUCAUCACAUAUCUCCAGUAAUCCUGAAGUCUAUUUUGUCUGAUACGUUUCUCAUUUGCCUAAUCUCUCU
Ochotona curzoniae (black-lipped pika) is the source of this 2610-nucleotide long non-coding RNA. RefSeq lists it as uncharacterized. The record is from RefSeq and is a predicted model, not a curated record. The transcript is spliced from 7 exons. NCBI's taxonomy places the organism in Eukaryota, Metazoa, Chordata, Mammalia, Lagomorpha, Ochotonidae.